Molecule: non-coding RNA, 161 nt
Filed under: uncultured Romboutsia sp.
Lineage: Bacteria; Bacillati; Bacillota; Clostridia; Peptostreptococcales; Peptostreptococcaceae
Source: RNAcentral
UAUUAUAGGUGCUUACAACGUAAGUUAAAAGGGAAAAAGGUUAAAAUCCUUUGCAGCACCCGCUACUGUAAUGUGGACGAAAGUUUCAAACCACUGUGAAUAUUCAUGGGAAGGGAAAUUAGUAGGAUGAAGCUAAGCCAGGAUACCUGCCUAUAGUAUAU